UACAGGCAGAGAAAACAAAAGCUCAGCUGGAAGACACUGAAAUGGAGGCACCUACUUUCAAGCCCAGACUUUAAGAGAGAGAUCCCUGCAUGGUGACAGUGGCCACUCUCCUGUCCUGCUGGCAGAUGAAACCUCCCAAAUCCUCCCAAAGUGCUGCAGCAUCCACGUGCAGAAGGGUAUUUGCAUUCACUUGGUGCCUCAUUGUAAGGAAGGACACCAUUGACAGCACAUAACAUCACUAUUAUUAUUGCUAAACAGAUGGAAAAUAAUUGUUUAUGGAAUUUGUGUUUUAAUCGCAUUAAUGUCUUUGGCAGGAAGAUCCACCUAAGUACACAAUUCAAAGCCUGCCUUUGAUCUGGGCCCCUUGGGGGCAUUUUCCAUGACUGAUAAAAUGCUCCUCUGAGUUCAUAGGCAAAUGAUGAAAAUGAUAAAAAGACAAAAGUCAGGCACCAACCUCCCAUUUGGAUAUUUUG
This 473-nucleotide long non-coding RNA is filed under the name Homo sapiens (human). Its description in RNAcentral is "non-protein coding LINC01572:28". Lineage: Eukaryota; Metazoa; Chordata; Mammalia; Primates; Hominidae. The record is from RNAcentral.